UGAUGUGGUCCUGGGUGUGCCCGAAAA
RNAcentral lists this non-coding RNA (27 nucleotides) under Homo sapiens (human). The record is from RNAcentral. Lineage: Eukaryota; Metazoa; Chordata; Mammalia; Primates; Hominidae.